This 229-nucleotide ribosomal RNA is filed under the name uncultured bacterium. RNAcentral's name for it is "partial 16S ribosomal RNA". It matches the Rfam family "Bacterial small subunit ribosomal RNA", at positions 568 to 796 of the family's 1533-position model. The record is from RNAcentral.
UGCGUAGGCGGCGUUAUAAGUCAGAGGUGAAAGGCCACCGCUUAACGGUGGGACUGCCUUUGAUACUGUAGUGCUUGAAUAAGGUUGAGGUUAGCGGAAUGUGACAUGUAGCGGUGAAAUGCAUAGAUAUGUCAUAGAACACCAAUUGCGAAGGCAGCUGGCUAGACCUUUAUUGACGCUGAGGCACGAAAGCGUGGGGAGCGAACAGGAUUAGAUACCCUGGUAGUCC